GACGGAAGGUGCAAGCGUUACUCGGAAUUACUGGGCGUAAAGCGUCCGCAGGCGUCCUCAGCAGUCUGGUGUAAAAGCACGGAGCUCAACUCCGUGUACGUGCUAGAAACCAUGAGGAUAGAGUCAUGUAGAGGCAUCUGGAAUGUCGUGUGUAGGGGUACAAUCCGUUGAUCCACGAUAGAACGCCAAAAGCGAAAGCAGGAUGCUGGACAUGUACUGACGCUCAGGGACGAAAGCGUGGGGAGCGAAGGGG
RNAcentral lists this unclassified non-coding RNA (253 nucleotides) under uncultured Candidatus Altimarinota bacterium. RNAcentral describes it as "uncultured Candidatus Gracilibacteria bacterium contains 16S-23S intergenic spacer region". It matches the Rfam family "Bacterial small subunit ribosomal RNA", at positions 524 to 776 of the family's 1533-position model. Lineage: Bacteria; Candidatus Altimarinota. The record is from RNAcentral.